This 657-nucleotide long non-coding RNA is filed under the name Homo sapiens (human). Its description in RNAcentral is "HSALNT0406082". The record is from RNAcentral. Lineage: Eukaryota; Metazoa; Chordata; Mammalia; Primates; Hominidae.
GGCAGAUCUCAGAGUCGCCUGGCUGCAAAGCUGGUGUCCCUUCCCCACUGUGCCUUAACUGCCGCCUUACAGCUGGGUUGGAGGAUGCCUCCCUGGUCUAGGAAAACUUCACCUUCCAGAGGAGCGCCUCUGCCUGGCUGUCCCACCGUCUGGGAAGUAAGGAGCGCCUCUGCCCAGCCCCCGCACCGUCUGGGAAGUGAGGAGCGCCUCUGGACGGCCCCCGCACCGUCUGGGAAGUGAGGAGCGCUUCUGGACGGCUCCCAGCAACCCCCCAGGUGUGAAGUGACAGCCCUGUGUGUGAUCUUUCUGCCCUCCCCAAGUUUGCAUUUUCGACAAUAAAAUUUACUUUUAAAUUAAAAGAUUUAUACUGGGGAAGAUUUAAAAAAAAAAAAAGAAAGAAAAGAAAACUCACCUUCCAAAAACAACCACUGGGAGUCCGCUUUGUGCAGAGGUUGGACAAGCUUCUGUGCAGGUAGGGGCGCUGCUGCUCCCCCUACCACCCACGCAUCCUCCUCCCUGUCUGCAUUCCCGUCGUCGUAGCCAGAGGAGUUCAGAGCCUCUACAGAGAGCACAACUUCUCCAGCUGGAACAAACUCCCCUUAAAGGAAUCUAUUUAGGAAGAUUAUUUCAAUGUACAUUCAUUCCUCCAAAAUAUGC